Long non-coding RNA from Daucus carota subsp. sativus, 2082 nucleotides. RefSeq lists it as uncharacterized. NCBI's taxonomy places the organism in Eukaryota, Viridiplantae, Streptophyta, Magnoliopsida, Apiales, Apiaceae. The record is from RefSeq and is a predicted model, not a curated record. The transcript is spliced from 3 exons.
GAUCAACCUUAAGCAUUCGACUUCUUUACACCAAUUCAAUAUAUAUAGCUACUUUCUGUAGAACUAAAGCCCAGGCAUAUAUGUUAUCAGACUUUCCUAAUGCGAAGUAUUUUUCUUUUACUCAGAAACUUCAUUUUUGGAAUGAAUUGGAGCGAUAUCAAGAUAUUUGCCGUUCAAAUUACUUUUUGAAGAGUAUUAUGAGUAUCUGUGCUUGAACUAACUAAAUAAACAUCUAUGGUUUAUCAAAACAUCAGGGGGUUGGACUGUUUACUGAUCGGAGGUCAUGUUCUUUUAAGAGUUUAAAAAGCUAAUUAUAUAUGGAUUGGGUUGCUGGAUUAAAUAAGCAUGUGCAUGUAUUAUCAAGAAACAAUUUGCAGGUCAGCAGGGAUAUUUUGAUACGAGAUUGAUGGAAAAUACUGAACCCGAAUGACUGUGAAUCAGAGUCACAGCUACAAGGCAACAACAAUUUAAAGAUCGAUGCAAUUCCGGAUGGACUCCCAAUACUAUAAUACUCCACAGACAUGCAUGGGCUCCGUUUUUUCUUGCUAAAAUAUUUGGUUGAUGAAUCUACUCAGAAUUCGAUGCAAAUCUAUGUUACACAUAUUGGGGCCGUUUGGGCAAGCUUAAAAAAGUGACUUCUUGCUUAAACUAGAGAAGUGGAGCAGAAGUGAGAAGUAAAUAAGUGAAUAAAGUGUUUGGAAAAAAAGCAGAAGUUGUGAGAGAGAAGCUAGGAUUUCCAGCUUCUUAAAAGUGCUUCUGCUUCUUUACACAAACGGGUCAAGAAAAGCAGAAGCCAGAAGCAGCUUCUGCUUCUGGUAAACAAACAGAGCCAUAACCUCCCGACCCCCAAACCACAAACAAACAAACAAACAGAAAUACUGUACAAGUUAGCGUUGAGUCUUGCUUAGUUUAUGAUACAAGAAAUAAGGUGAUAAGGUUCAUAUCAGGCAAGCCCUGCAACUGCAACUUGUAGGUACUAAUUAUAAGAGGUGUUACUUGUACUCAAGCAAGUCAUGGUGACUAUAUGAUUUUAGCAAACUCUUUAAGUUUUCUUCACUCUUGCAAACUUCAGGUAGAUAUUAACUCUUUUAUGGUUAUUUGGUAACUUUAAAUUCAUUUGAAAUUCUGACAUGUUAUGACAAUCAGAAAAAUUUCAGUCUGGAUUAAUUUGAUUCAAAGACAUCCAGGUUAAUUUGUGAUUCAAUUUAAUUAUAUCAAUCAAUCAAAGUUAUAGUGGAAAUUAGUUUAACAGCUCACAGGAAUGGAAAAAGCUAAAAAGAAUCAAGUAGCACUGCCUCAAUGAGCUGUUUCCAAAAUAUAUGGUGUCUAUUACUACUAGCGGCGCCUUAAAAAAGUGAGGAGCCAGUCCACUAGUCCAGGAAGAGGCUGGUUAUAAAACAGCUUCUGAGCAACAACGAACCAAUCAAAAAUUGGUUCAUAAUUGAGAUACAUAUAGUGAAAGACAAUGAUUCUCCAUAUCUGUGGACAGUGGCUAUGUAUGCACCUUGAACAAAAAACACACACCCUCUCUCUCUCACUAUUAUGUAUCAUGUUUAUUAUAAACAUGUUUUGAAUUUAUGUGUUUAAUAACGCAGGGGUUUUAGGUCCACUGGGAGAAUUAUACAUGUGCAAUCUGCAAACCCAUGUGGUCUGGUCAUGUGUGUUUGCCUGCUGCAUUCUUGUCUUAUUCCAGACAUGGCUUUUCAAUUUUCAUCAUCCCGCUUUCAGCUUUAAUUCUUCAACUUGAUGCGAGGUAUGGAUCGAGCUAAAUAUUAAUCUGACGCAAUAGUAUCAACAUAAAUACUGCCUACAUGCAUGAACAUUCUUAAUUUACGUUAUCAGUAAGUACUUAUUCUUGAUUCUCAUGUCGAAAGUUUCUGCGGACAACUCAAAUGUCUCGUACUAAUGGAGUUGACAGCUUCUUAACGGAUUUGGGACAUGAUUUUUCAAGAUUCCUCCUCUUAUUAUGAGUCCGUUUGACUGAUUUUAAAAUUAUAAUUUAUAAUGAUUUAUUGUGAUGAUUUUAGAGUUUAAAAUAUUUGUUUUGGUAAUUUUGACUAAUUAUAAUAUAUAGGUUAUUAA